This 497-nucleotide ribosomal RNA is filed under the name uncultured bacterium. RNAcentral's name for it is "partial 16S ribosomal RNA". It matches the Rfam family "Bacterial small subunit ribosomal RNA", at positions 28 to 507 of the family's 1533-position model. The record is from RNAcentral.
GAUGAACGCUGGCGGCGUGCCUAAUACAUGCAAGUCGAGCGAACGGACGAGAAGCUUGCUUCUCUGAUGUUAGCGGCGGACGGGUGAGUAACACGUGGAUAACCUACCUAUAAGACUGGGAUAACUUCGGGAAACCGGAGCUAAUACCGGAUAAUAUUUUGAACCGCAUGGUUCAAAAGUGAAAGACGGUCUUGCUGUCACUUAUAGAUGGAUCCGCGCUGCAUUAGCUAGUUGGUAAGGUAACGGCUUACCAAGGCAACGAUGCAUAGCCGACCUGAGAGUGUGAUCGGCCGCAGUGGAAAGGAGACACGGUCCAGACGCCGGCGGGAGGACGCAGGCGGGGAUCGUGCGGAAUGGGGGAAAGCCUGACGGAGCAACGCCACGUGAGUGAUGAAGGUCUUCGGAUCGUAAACCUUUGUUAUUAGGGAAGAAAAUAAGUGUAAGUAACUGUGCACAUCUUGACGGUACCUAAUCAGAAAGCCACGGCUAACUACGUG